Molecule: transfer RNA, 49 nt
Filed under: Bavayia robusta
Lineage: Eukaryota; Metazoa; Chordata; Lepidosauria; Squamata; Diplodactylidae
Description: partial tRNA-Asn
Source: RNAcentral
UUUUUAGUUGUUACCUAAAGGUUUACGGGAUCGAGNCCCGUCGAUCUAG